CCUUUCUCAGGAUUGCACCUGGAGAGUUUCCAGGACUUUACCAGUCUCAACUAUGGGAGGGAGAGUCAAGCAGAGGUCUACCCAUUCCGUUCCUAGCUCGGGCAGUAGCUAGUGAGUGGAAGGUGGUCUGCUACAAAU
Small nucleolar RNA from Tachyglossus aculeatus (Australian echidna), 138 nucleotides. Lineage: Eukaryota; Metazoa; Chordata; Mammalia; Monotremata; Tachyglossidae. The record is from RefSeq and is a predicted model, not a curated record.